RNAcentral lists this ribosomal RNA (503 nucleotides) under uncultured bacterium. RNAcentral's name for it is "partial 16S ribosomal RNA". It matches the Rfam family "Bacterial small subunit ribosomal RNA", at positions 30 to 523 of the family's 1533-position model. The record is from RNAcentral.
AUUGAACGCUGGCGGCAGGCUUAACACAUGCAAGUCGAGCGGGGUGAUGGUGCUUGCACUAUCACUUAGCGGCGGACGGGUGAGUAAUGCUUAGGAAUCUGCCUAUUAGUGGGGGACAACAUUUCGAAAGGGAUGCUAAUACCGCAUACGUCCUACGGGAGAAAGCAGGGGAUCACUUGUGACCUUGCGCUAAUAGAUGAGCCUAAGUCGGAUUAGCUAGUUGGUGGGGUAAAGGCCUACCAAGACGACGAUCUGUAGCGGGUCUGAGAGGAUUAUCCGCCACACUGGGACUGAGACACGGCCCAGACUCCUACGGGAGGCAGCAGUGGGGAAUAUUGGACAAUGGGGGGAACCCUGAUCCAGCCAUGCCGCGUGUGUGAAGAAGGCCUUACGGUUGUAAAGCACUUUAAGCGAGGAGGAGGCUCUUUUGGUUAAUACCCAAGAUGAGUGGACGUUACUCGCAGAAUAAGCACCGGCUAACUCUGUGCCAGCCGCCGCCGUAA